This 492-nucleotide ribosomal RNA is filed under the name uncultured bacterium. Its description in RNAcentral is "partial 16S ribosomal RNA". It matches the Rfam family "Bacterial small subunit ribosomal RNA", at positions 29 to 507 of the family's 1533-position model. The record is from RNAcentral.
AGUGAACGCUGGCGGUAGGCCUAACACAUGCAAGUCGAACGGCAGCACAGUAAUAGCUUGCUCUUACGGGUGGCGAGUGGCGGACGUGUGAGGAAUAUAUCGUAAUCUACUUUUUCGUGGGGGUUCACGUAGGUAAACUUACGCUAAUACCGCAUACCACCUACCGUUGAAAGCAGGGGAUCUUCUCACCUUGUGCGAAUGAAUUCGCCGGUGUCGGACUUGUUAGUUGGCGGGUUAAAUGCCCACCAAGGCGGCGAUCCGUAGCUGGUCUGAGAGAAUGAUCGGCCACACUGGAAGUGAGACACGGUCCAGACUCCUGCGGGAGGCAGCAGUGGGGUAUAUUAGACAAUGGGGGCGAAGCUGAUCCAAGCAUACCGCGUGGGUGGAGAAGACCUUCGGGUUGUAAGGCCCUUUUGUUGGGAGAAAAAAGCAGGCGGUUAAUACGCCGCUGUUCUGACGGUACCCAAAGAAGAAGCACCGGCUAACUACGUG